AGUGAAUAGAUACCCAGGUAGUCCACGCCCUAAACGAUGAUCACUGGGUGUUCGGGGAGCGAUCUCUGAGUACCGUAGCUAACGCGUGAAGUGAUCCGCCUGGGGAGUACGGUCGCAAGAUUAAAACUCAAAGGAAUUGACGGGGACCCGCACAAGCGGUGGAUGAUGUGGAUUAAUUCGAUGCAACGCGAACAACCUUACCUACCCUUGACAUGUCCGGAAGCCCGGUGAGAGCUGGGGGUGCCCGAAAGGGAACCGGAACACAGGUGCUGCAUGGCUGUCGUCAGCUCGUGUCGUGAGAUGUUGGGUUAAGUCCCGCAACGAGCGCAACCCUUGUCCCUAGUUGCUACGCAAGGGCACUCUAGGGAGACUGCCGGUGACAAACCGGAGGAAGUGGGGAUGACGUCAAGUCCUCAUGGCCCUUAUGGGUAGGGCUUCACACGUCAUACAAUGGUCGGUACAGAGGGUUGCCAAGCCGCGAGGUGGAGCCAAUCCCGGAAAGCCGAUCGUAUCCGGGAUCGCAGUCUGCAACUCG
RNAcentral lists this ribosomal RNA (535 nucleotides) under uncultured bacterium. Its description in RNAcentral is "bacterial SSU rRNA". It matches the Rfam family "Bacterial small subunit ribosomal RNA", at positions 773 to 1314 of the family's 1533-position model. The record is from RNAcentral.